CCACCCUGGUAGCCGGAGCCCCUGCGGCCGUCCUCCGCCUCGUCCGCGCGGCGCCUGCACGCACGCCGGAGCCCGCUCCCCUGCGCUGCCGCAGUUCCCCCGUGUCGCAUUAUGCCGCAGCGGCAACUGUCGGUAACCUGGCCGAGGCCUAGGUGGGCGGCGUUGACGGACGAAUUCGAGGACGCGGCGUUGAUGGUAGAGGGAUUUGGCGGCGCACCUCUCGUCCAUGCUUGCCGAUGAGGAUUCCUGGUACCGACGCCGGUGAAGGUUGAUCAACGAGGAGAGUAAUAGAUACAUGUCUUUCUUUGAUGUGGUGGAGUCUUUCACGAUGGUGACUUGGAUGUGGUGAAGCAGCUCCUCAUAGACAACGCGAUGCUGUGAAGCAAAGUGCCAGAGAAGUUGUGCAUCCGUUUUUAACUACAGCCCAUGCAUGUAUACCGUCCAAUUGCUACACCCUGAUGUGGAGCUCGUUGUAUGUGUAGAGAUGGCACUCCAAAGCAUUAUAAGGACUCCAGCUUGCAGCAUCUAUCCAUUUUCAGUUUCCUCGGGUAAAAUCCUUUAAUACUCUUCUCCCUAAUUCAGAAAUUUAGUUUACAAUGUUGCAGGCUGGUUUCAUCUGACAUUCUCAAGGCUCUGCACAUGCAAUAUUAUGAAGUUUCUAUCCUUUCCCUAUGCAAUGCAUUACUACAUAUAUUUUGAAUUGUGUAGGUAACUGUUU
Molecule: long non-coding RNA, 718 nt
Organism: Lolium perenne
Lineage: Eukaryota; Viridiplantae; Streptophyta; Magnoliopsida; Poales; Poaceae
Source: RefSeq, a predicted model, not a curated record